ACGAACGCUGGCGGCGUGCUUAACACAUGCAAGUCGAACGGAAAGGCCCUGCUUUUGUGGGGUGCUCGAGUGGCGGACGGGUGAGUAACACGUGAGUAACCUGCCCUUGACUUUGGGAUAACUUCAGGAAACUGGGGCUAAUACCGGAUAGGAGCUCCUGCUGCAUGGUGGGGGUUGGAAAGUUUCGGCGGUUGGGGAUGGAUUCGCGGCUUAUCAGCUUGUUGGUGGGGUAGUGGCUUACCAAGGCUUUGACGGGUAGCCG
Molecule: ribosomal RNA, 262 nt
Filed under: uncultured bacterium
Lineage: Bacteria
Description: partial 16S ribosomal RNA
Rfam family: Bacterial small subunit ribosomal RNA
Source: RNAcentral